ACAGUGGUGGUUUAGUGGUAGAAUUCUCACUUUCCAUGCAGGGUACCCAGGUUCCAUUCCUGGCCAAUGCA
This 71-nucleotide transfer RNA is filed under the name Loxodonta africana (African savanna elephant). It matches the Rfam family "tRNA". From Rfam's summary of the family: Transfer RNA (tRNA) molecules are approximately 80 nucleotides in length. Their secondary structure includes four short double-helical elements and three loops (D, anti-codon, and T loops). Lineage: Eukaryota; Metazoa; Chordata; Mammalia; Proboscidea; Elephantidae. The record is from Rfam by way of RNAcentral.